RNAcentral lists this ribosomal RNA (421 nucleotides) under uncultured bacterium. RNAcentral's name for it is "bacterial SSU rRNA". It matches the Rfam family "Bacterial small subunit ribosomal RNA", at positions 355 to 774 of the family's 1533-position model. The record is from RNAcentral.
UAAGGAAUAUUGGUCAAUGGACGCAAGUCUGAACCAGCCAUGCCGCGUGAAGGAUGAAGGUCCUCUGGAUUGUAAACUUCUUUUAUCUGGGACGAAAACGGGAUUUUUAUCUCAAUUGACGGUACCAGAGGAAUAAGCACCGGCUAACUCCGUGCCGGCAGCCGCGGUAAUACGGAGGGUGCGAGCGUUAUCCGGAUUUACUGGGUUUAAAGGGUGCGUAGGUGGGCUUAUAAGUCAGUGGUGAAAUCUCCGAGCUUAACUUGGAAACUGCCGUUGAUACUAUAGGUCUUGAAUUAUCUGGAGGUAAGCGGAAUAUGUCAUGUAGCGGUGAAAUGCUUAGAUAUGACAUAGAACACCAAUUGCGAAGGCAGCUUACUACAUAUAAAUUGACGCUGAGGCACGAAAGCGUGGGGAUCAAACA